GGGACACGUGGUAUCCUGUCUGAAUAUGGGGGGACCAUCCUCCAAGGCUAAAUACUCCUGACUGACCGAUAGUGAACCAGUACCGUGAGGGAAAGGCGAAAAGAACCCCGGCGAGGGGAGUGAAAAAGAACCUGAAACCGUGUACGUACAAGCAGUGGGAGCACCUUCGGGUGUGACUGCGUACCUUUUGUAUAAUGGGUCAGCGACUUAUAUUCUGUAGCAAGGUUAACCGUAUAGGGGAGCCGAAGGGAAACCGAGUCUUAACUGGGCGUUAAGUUGCAGGGUAUAGACCCGAAACCCGGUGAUCUAGCCAUGGGCAGGUUGAAGGUUGGGUAACACUAACUGGAGGACCGAACCGACUAAUGUUGAAAAAUUAGCGGAUGACCUGUGGCUGGGGGUGAAAGGCCAAUCAAACCGGGAGAUAGCUGGUUCUCCCCGAAAGCUAUUUAGGUAGCGCCUCGUGAACUCAUCUUCGGGGGUAGAGCACUGUUUCGGCUAGGGGGCCAUCCCGGCUUACCAACCCGAUGCAAACUACGAAUACCGAAGAAUGUUAUCACGGGAGACACACGGCGGGUGCUAACGUCCGUCGUGAAGAGGGAAACAACCCAGACCGCCAGCUAAGGUCCCAAAGUCAUGGUUAAGUGGGAAACGAUGUGGGAAGGCACAGACAGCCAGGAUGUUGGCUUAGAAGCAGCCAUCAUUUAAAGAAAGCGUAAUAGCUCACUGGUCGAGUCGGCCUGCGCGGAAGAUGUAACGGGGCUAAACCAUGCACCGAAGCUGCGGCAGCGACACUAUGUGUUGUUGGGUAGGGGAGCGUUCUGUAAGCCGUUGAAGGUGUGCUGUGAGGCAUGCUGGAGGUAUCAGAAGUGCGAAUGCUGACAUAAGUAACGAUAAAGCGGGUGAAAAGCCCGCUCGCCGGAAGACCAAGGGUUCCUGUCCAACGUUAAUCGGGGCAGGGUGAGUCGACCCCUAAGGCGAGGCCGAAAGGCGUAGUCGAUGGGAAACAGGUUAAUAUUCCUGUACUUGGUGUUACUGCGAAGGGGGGACGGAGAAGGCUAUGUCAGCCGGGCGACGGUUGUCCCGGUUUAAGCAUGUAGGCGGAGGU
This 1105-nucleotide ribosomal RNA is filed under the name Enterobacter hormaechei. RNAcentral's name for it is "partial 23S ribosomal RNA". It matches the Rfam family "Bacterial large subunit ribosomal RNA", at positions 419 to 1531 of the family's 2925-position model. Lineage: Bacteria; Pseudomonadati; Pseudomonadota; Gammaproteobacteria; Enterobacterales; Enterobacteriaceae. The record is from RNAcentral.